Molecule: ribosomal RNA, 403 nt
Filed under: uncultured bacterium
Lineage: Bacteria
Description: partial 16S ribosomal RNA
Rfam family: Bacterial small subunit ribosomal RNA
Source: RNAcentral
AUUGAACGCUGGCGGCAGGCCUAACACAUGCAAGUCGAGCGAUCGGCGGACGGGUGAGUAAUGUAUGGGGCCUGCCCGAUAGAGGGGGAUCACUACUGGAAACGGUGGCUAAUACCGCAUACUAUCGGAUCACCCAUAUGGGAUUAGCUAGUAGGUGGGGUAAAGGCUCACCUAGGCGACGAUCUCUAGCUGGUCUGAGAGGAUGAUCAGCCACACUGGGAAUGAGACACGGCACAGAACCCCACGGAGGCAGCCGUGGGGAAUAUUGCCGAAUGGGUGAAAGGCGUAUAAAGCCAUGACGGGUUGAUGCAGACGGACUUAGGGUUGUAAAGGACUUACAGCGGGCAGGCGUUACCCGCAGCAGACGCAACGGCUAACUCCGUGCCAGCCGCCGCGGUAAUAC